This 497-nucleotide ribosomal RNA is filed under the name uncultured bacterium. RNAcentral describes it as "partial 16S ribosomal RNA". It matches the Rfam family "Bacterial small subunit ribosomal RNA", at positions 28 to 507 of the family's 1533-position model. The record is from RNAcentral.
GAUGAACGCUGGCGGCGUGCCUAAUACAUGCAAGUCGAGCGAACAGAUGAGGAGCUUGCUCCUCUGACGUUAGCGGCGGACGGGUGAGUAACACGUGGAUAACCUACCUAUAAGACUGGGAUAACUUCGGGAAACCGGAGCUAAUACCGGAUAAUAUAUUGAACCGCAUGGUUCAAUAGUGAAAGACGGUUUUGCUGUCACUUAUAGAUGGAUCCGCGCCGCAUUAGCUAGUUGGUAAGGUAACGGCUUACCAAGGCAACGAUGCGUAGCCGACCUGAGAGGGUGAUCGGCCACACUGGAACUGAGACACGGUCCAGACUCCUACGGGAGGCAGCAGUAGGGAAUCUUCCGCAAUGGGCGAAAGCCUGACGGAGCAACGCCGCGUGAGUGAUGAAGGUCUUCGGAUCGUAAAACUCUGUUAUUAGGGAAGAACAAAUGUGUAAGUACCUAUGCACGUAUUGACGGUACCUAAACAGAAAGCCACGGCUAACUACGUG